CUUACGGGUGGCAGCAGUGGGGAAUAUUGGACAAUGGGCGAAAGCCUGAUCCAGCCAUGCCGCGUGUGUGAAGAAGGCCUUCGGGUUGUAAAGCACUUUCAGUGGGGAAGAAAGCCUUGGGGCUAAUACCCUCGAGGAAGGACAUCACCCACAGAAGAAGCACCGGCUAACUCCGUGCCAGCAGCCGCGGUAAUACGGAGGGUGCGAGCGUUAAUCGGAAUUACUGGGCGUAAAGCGCGCGUAGGCGGUCUGAUAAGCCGGUUGUGAAAGCCCCGGGCUCAACCUGGGAACGGCAUCCGGAACUGUCAGGCUAGAGUGCAGGAGAGGAAGGUAGAAUUCCCGGUGUAGCGGUGAAAUGCGUAGAGAUCGGGAGGAAUACCAGUGGCGAAGGCGGCCUUCUGGACUGACACUGACGCUGAGGUGCGAAAGCGUGGGUAGCAAACAGGAUUAGAUACCCGGGUAGUC
RNAcentral lists this ribosomal RNA (465 nucleotides) under Vreelandella stevensii. RNAcentral's name for it is "partial 16S ribosomal RNA". It matches the Rfam family "Bacterial small subunit ribosomal RNA", at positions 338 to 795 of the family's 1533-position model. The record is from RNAcentral. Lineage: Bacteria; Pseudomonadati; Pseudomonadota; Gammaproteobacteria; Oceanospirillales; Halomonadaceae.